UACGUAGGGAGCGAGCGUUGUCCGGAUUUAUUGGGCGUAAAGAGCGCGUAGGCGGCCAGGUAGGUCAGCUGUGAAAACUCGAGGCUCAACCUCGAGACGCCGGUUGAAACCAUCUGGCUAGAGUCCGGUAGAGGAGAGUGGAAUUCCUGGUGUAGCGGUGAAAUGCGCAGAUAUCAGGAAGAACACCCGUGGCUAAGGCGGCUCUCUAGUACGGUACUGACGCUGAGACGCGAAAGCGUGGGGAGCGAACAGG
Molecule: ribosomal RNA, 253 nt
Filed under: uncultured bacterium
Lineage: Bacteria
Description: partial 16S ribosomal RNA
Rfam family: Bacterial small subunit ribosomal RNA
Source: RNAcentral